GAUAAUCAAUUGACCAAUGUAUAUAAUUCUCCUAUCUAUAAAAAAAAAUAUAAAUAUAUGGAUGCCGUAGAAUAUGUACAUUAAUCAAAAAGAUGGGUCUAGAGUUUUAUGCAAUGCGAAAUUAGUGGAUUUGUAAAGAGCAUCAUAAAAAAUAUGGGCGAUCGGGACACGCAACCCGUGCAUGCGGACAUGAAGCAUGCCAGACG
This 206-nucleotide long non-coding RNA is filed under the name Elaeis guineensis (African oil palm). Its description in RNAcentral is "long non-coding RNA (EGUI_LNC049933)". The record is from RNAcentral. Lineage: Eukaryota; Viridiplantae; Streptophyta; Magnoliopsida; Arecales; Arecaceae.